RNAcentral lists this long non-coding RNA (202 nucleotides) under Elaeis guineensis (African oil palm). RNAcentral's name for it is "long non-coding RNA (EGUI_LNC078912)". The record is from RNAcentral. Lineage: Eukaryota; Viridiplantae; Streptophyta; Magnoliopsida; Arecales; Arecaceae.
UCCUUGUACACCUCAGCACAAUGAUGUAUUUGUGAGGAGCAAUGGCGCUGUAUGAGAUAUGGUCCAGUCUAUCAUGAACAUCACCAAUUUAACUAUUGUUUCUUUAAAAUAAGAUUUAAUUUUUGAAAUUUAAAUAAGCUUCCCUCUAAAGUUGGUUUCAUCACAUUAUAUGAGAUAUAAUAUGGUGGACAAGUUAGAGGAU